AUGCACUUUUCCCAUGGUAUAAUAUACGAAACAAAAUCAAUUUAUUGGAUCACAAUCAUAUCUGGAAGUAUCUGCACCACUGUUUUAUCAGGCAUGAAGGUGGCAUGGGCCAGCAAGGAGUCUGGGGGUUCAGCAGGACAUCCUUGCCGGAGUAGUCGAGCAGAGGCUGACACUGGCCAAUAUGAGCAGCAUUGCCGCAGAUCGCCUCCAUGUGGGCUGCUGUUGCAAAGUCACUGUGCUGCACCUCAGCAAAUUCAUGUGUUCAGCCACUAUCAGACUUUGGUGGUAUGCUCUGGCUGCAAAACUAUGCUCUUCCAACCUACCGGUGGAAAGGGGAGGCUCACCAAGGGAUGCCUUAUUAUGGAAAAAAUGAAGCCCUUCUUAAGAUUGUUUACUACUACUUAUCCUCGAUGUGGGGAGACCAACCAAAAGAGGAGUCAGGACUCAGGAGCAAGCAAAUUACAGUUUGUACACAACGAUUUGACAUUCAGCAUAUAUGCACUAGAGUUUCAGAAGGUCAAUAAUACCCAAUGCAUUGCCUUCCAUGACCUACCUUGGUCUGUUCUCAUGGAUGAUCUGCUAACUCAUUUUAAUUCGGUGCCUAGGUACUAUUUCCUUUGGCAUUGUGUUUUAUAA
Molecule: ribosomal RNA, 636 nt
Filed under: Triticum aestivum (bread wheat)
Lineage: Eukaryota; Viridiplantae; Streptophyta; Magnoliopsida; Poales; Poaceae
Description: partial small subunit ribosomal RNA
Source: RNAcentral